RNAcentral lists this non-coding RNA (153 nucleotides) under Papio anubis (olive baboon). The record is from Rfam by way of RNAcentral. Lineage: Eukaryota; Metazoa; Chordata; Mammalia; Primates; Cercopithecidae.
GCUGGGCGUGGUGGUGGGCGCCUGUAAUCCUAGCUACUCGGGAGGCUGAGGCAUGAGAAUCGCUUGAACCCAGGAGGCAGAGGUUGCAGUGAGCUGAGCUGAGAUUGUGCCACUGCACUCCAGCCUGGGCGACAGAGUGAGACUUUGUCUCAA